Molecule: ribosomal RNA, 319 nt
Filed under: uncultured eukaryote
Lineage: Eukaryota
Description: partial 18S ribosomal RNA
Rfam family: Eukaryotic small subunit ribosomal RNA
Source: RNAcentral
CCCUUAGAUGUUCUGGGCAGCACGCGCGCUACAAUGGUCUUCGCAAACGGAUGCAUUCUCGAAGGAGAAUGCCAAUCUUGGAAUCUAUGCCUUGGUCGGGACAGUUGCUUGCAAUUUUUCGACUCGAACCAGGAAUUCCUUGUAAUCGUGAUUCAUCACAACACGAUGAAUACGUCCCUGCCCUUUGUACACACCGCCCGUCGCUCCUACCGAUCGAAGAGUUAGGUGAAUUGUUUUGAUCGAUAAGAUUUGACUAUGGUCAACUCUCGUUGUGAAAUUCUGUGAAUCUGACUGUUUAGAGGAAGGAAAAGUCGUAACA